CUCCCACCUCAGCCUCCUGAGUAGCUCCGACUAUAGAUGUGUGCCACCAUGCCUGGCUAAUUUUCAUGUUUUUUGUAGAGAUGGGGAUUCAACAUGUUUCCCAGGCAAUCUGAAGGCAAAUGCUGUUUAGAUGCAGGCGAAGGUUCCUGGUGACCCAGGCUCUCACCAGCAGAUUGUCCCUUACCGUCCUCCUGAGGGUGUCUGGAGUUUCAGUGCUGUGUGCUCUUGGCGUCCACACUGGGGUGCCACCGACUCCCACUGUCCAGGGCUUCCAGUGGACUCUCCGAGGCACUGAUGUAGAAACUUCCCCAUUCGGUGCACCAAGAGCAGCCUCACACGGUGUGGGCCGACAGGAAGAGCUGCCAGAUCCAACAGUCCCUGGCUCCACCUCUUCUGCCACAAACAUCAGCUUGGUGGUAUCUGCUGGCCCUUAGUCCAGUGAGAAGGCAGAGAUGAACAUUCUAGAAAUCAACGAGAAAUUGCGCCCCCAGCUGGCAGAGAAGAAACAGCAGUUCAGAAACAUCAAAGAGAAAUUUCUUGUAACUCAAGUGGCCUGCUUCCUGGCCAACUGGCAGAACAAAUACGAGUAUGAAGAGUGCAAAGACCUCAUAAAAUCUAUGCUGAGGGAUGAGCUGCAGUUCAAGGGGGAGAAGCUUGCAGAGCAGCUCAAGCAAGCUGAGGAGCUCAGGCAAUAUAAAGUCCUGGUUCACUCUCAGGCAUGAGAGCUGAUCCAGUUAAGGGAGAGGUUACGGGAAGGGAGAGAUGCCUCCCGCUCAUUGACUCAGCAUCUCCAGGCCCUCCCCACUCCAGAUGAGCCGGACAAGUCCCAGCGGCAGGACCUCCGAGAACAGCUGGCUGAGGGGUGUAGGCUGGCACGGCACCUUGUCCAAAAGCUCAGCCCAGAAAAUGAUGAAGAUGAGGAUGAAGGUGUUCAAGUUGAGGAAGCUGAGAAAGUACAGGAUUCAUGUGCCCGCAGGGAGGUGCAGAAGGCUGAAGAAAGGGAAGUCCCUGGGACUCACUGGAGGAAUGUGCCGUCACUUAUUCAAAUAGCCAUGGCCCUUAUGACUCCAACCAGCCACACAGGAAUACCCAGAUCACAUUUGUGGAAGACGAAGUCGACUCAACUCUCAUUGACUCAUCCUCUCAUGAUGAGUGGGAGGAUGCUGUACAUAUUAUCCCAGAAAAUGAAAGUGAUCAUGAAGAAGAGGAAGAAAAAGGGCCAGUGUCUCCCAGGAAUCUGCAGGAGUCUGAAGAGGAGGAAGCCCCCUAGGAGUCCUGGGAUGAAGGUUAUUUGACUCUCUCAAUUCCUCCUGACAUGUCUGCCUCAUACCAGUCUUACAAGAGCACCUUUCCCUCAUUAGAAGAACAGUAAGUCGGCUUGGCUCUUGACAUAGGCAGUGAGUACUCCAUUGUGAAGGUAAUAAAGCUCCAGUUCAUGUCCCAGGUGGACCCCAUAAUCUUUGGGCCUUGUACCCCUGGUUGGGCUGACAGUUGCCAUCACUGUGGGCUGAACCUAUAUGUCAGUGUAGAUUUCAAUCACUCUGGAGUUGAGUCUGAAGCACAGGCAUGGGGUGGGUCAGUGAGCUUUGCUCUCUUCCUAGUCUCAGGCCAUGCCCUUGCCACCCUUGACCGACUCUCAGGACAUUGA
Mandrillus leucophaeus (drill) is the source of this 1648-nucleotide RNA transcript. It is a transcript of the gene named neuroblastoma breakpoint family member 3-like, with no coding region annotated. NCBI's taxonomy places the organism in Eukaryota, Metazoa, Chordata, Mammalia, Primates, Cercopithecidae. The record is from RefSeq and is a predicted model, not a curated record. The transcript has 9 exons.